UCUGCCCUUAGAGGCUUUGUAGGUGUGACUGCUGUGACACAUUUGUGUCAGUAGGUAGCAGAGAGAAGAGAGGUUAUGUUUGGGCUCAGUGUUUUGACCCAUGAACAUUCGAAUGAUUAGUAGCCUGACACU
This 132-nucleotide small nucleolar RNA is filed under the name Castor canadensis (American beaver). RNAcentral describes it as "Small nucleolar RNA SNORA17 (ENSCCNG00000023124.1)". It matches the Rfam family "Small nucleolar RNA SNORA17". Rfam says of the family: snoRNA ACA 17 belongs to the H/ACA family of snoRNAs and is predicted to guide pseudouridylation of the 28S rRNA at positions U4659 and U4598. It shares the same host gene together with ACA43. Lineage: Eukaryota; Metazoa; Chordata; Mammalia; Rodentia; Castoridae. The record is from Rfam by way of RNAcentral.